AGCCUUGCCAUAUGGUACAAAAGAAAAUCUAUUUUUCAGGGGGAGCGUCCAAGCAGGCUUCAAAGGAAUCACUUGCUAGAGUGAUUAGCUACCUAAAAGAAAGCCAGAAGUGAAUAGCCAAGACAAUGGGAAGAAGUCCUCAAUGAUACUUUAGGGAUUGCUAAGGCAGCUCAGGAGGAAAGGAUGGCUUCAGGGGCCAGGCUCAGACCACUGCUCAGCCUCAGGAAACUGUUCUCUGCGUCCUGGCCACUCCAUCUCCAGCUUUGUCUCAAAGGAACCAGGUUUGCCCAGUGUAAUUAA
RNAcentral lists this long non-coding RNA (300 nucleotides) under Callithrix jacchus (white-tufted-ear marmoset). RNAcentral describes it as "lncRNA (ENSCJAG00000077801.1)". The record is from RNAcentral. Lineage: Eukaryota; Metazoa; Chordata; Mammalia; Primates; Cebidae.